Ictalurus punctatus (channel catfish) is the source of this 407-nucleotide long non-coding RNA. Lineage: Eukaryota; Metazoa; Chordata; Actinopteri; Siluriformes; Ictaluridae. The record is from Ensembl.
UAUGGAAGAGUGUAUAUAGAAGAGUGUAUAGGGAAGAGUGUGUAAGGAAAGUGUAUAGGGAAAUAUGUAUAGGGAAGAGUGUAUAGGGAAAUGUGUAUAGGGAAAUGUGUAUAGGGAAGAGUGUAUAGGGAAAUGUGUAUAUGGAAGAGUGUAUAGGGAAGAGUGUAUAGGGAAAGUUAUAUAUGGAAGAGUGUAUAUAGAAGAGUGUAUAGGGAAGAGUGUGUAAGGAAAAAGUGUAUAGGGAAAUAUGUAUAGGGAAGAGUGUAUAGGGAAAUGUGUAUAGGGAAAUGUGUAUAGGGAAAUGUGUAUAGGGAAGAGUGUAUAGGAAAUAGUGUAUAGGGAAAUGUGUAUAGGGAAGAGUGUAUAGGGAAAUGUGUAUAGGGAAAUGUGUAUAGGGAAGUGUGUAU